AGGGUCUCCCUCUGUUGCCCAGGCUGGAGGACAGUGGUAUAAUCAUAGCUAACUGCAGCUUUGAACUCCUGAGAACAGCAAUCCUCCUUCCUCGGUCUUCCGCAGCAUUGGGAUUACAGGUCCUGAAGAAAAUGAAGUUGAUGUUUCAGUGAGACACCUGUAUGCCAGAGAGUAAAAGGGAUUAUUGUGGAUUCCUGAGAAUUUUCUACAUAUGAAAUCAUGUCAUCUAUGAACAGAGGAUCACAUCAAGAUUUCUUCUACAUAAGAGUUUGGUAUGUACUGUUUCUGCUACCAGUAAUGCUUUUAUAAACCUAUCACCACAUGCCUUUUUUUUCUUUUCAGCAUCAGGAUAGACACAGCUUUCUUUUGUCUUUUUUCAGAAAUGACUUCAAGUACCUUUGCUGAAGUAUCACACACACAAAAAACACAUCACCCUGGCCCUUUAUUUUCCAUUACCCAGUUUUAUUUGUGUCAUAACGAUAUCAAGUAUAUAAAAUUGUCUUAUUUGGCUCUUUACAUGUUUCUCACCUUUAUUGCCAAUAAUUAAGAGUUAUAAAAAGCUCUUUUAUUAUUC
RNAcentral lists this long non-coding RNA (574 nucleotides) under Homo sapiens (human). RNAcentral describes it as "HSALNT0210104". Lineage: Eukaryota; Metazoa; Chordata; Mammalia; Primates; Hominidae. The record is from RNAcentral.